UACGGAGGGUGCAAACGUUGUCCGGAAUCAUUGGGCGUAAAGCGCGCGUAGGCGGCCCGGUAAGUCCGUUGUGAAAGUCAAAGGCUCAACCUUUGAACGCCGAUGGAUACUGCCGGGCUAGAGUCCGGAAGAGGCGAGUGGAAUUCCUGGUGUAGCGGUGGAAUGCGCAGAUAUCAGGAGGAACACCAAUAGCGAAGGCAGCUCGCUGGGACGGUACUGACGCUGAGGCGCGAAAGCGUGGGGAGCGAACAGG
RNAcentral lists this ribosomal RNA (253 nucleotides) under uncultured bacterium. RNAcentral's name for it is "partial 16S ribosomal RNA". It matches the Rfam family "Bacterial small subunit ribosomal RNA", at positions 524 to 776 of the family's 1533-position model. The record is from RNAcentral.